AAAAUACUCCCUCCGUCCAGAAAUACUUGUCCUAGAGAUGAAUGUAUCUAGACUUAUUUUAGUUAUAGAUACAUCCAUUAUAUCCAUUUCUAGGACAAGUAUUUCCGGACGGAGGAAGUAAAAG
This 124-nucleotide microRNA precursor is filed under the name Hordeum vulgare. RNAcentral's name for it is "microRNA MIR1122". It matches the Rfam family "MIR1120/MIR1122 microRNA precursor family". The record is from RNAcentral. Lineage: Eukaryota; Viridiplantae; Streptophyta; Magnoliopsida; Poales; Poaceae.